RNAcentral lists this ribosomal RNA (1028 nucleotides) under uncultured organism. Its description in RNAcentral is "bacterial SSU rRNA". It matches the Rfam family "Bacterial small subunit ribosomal RNA", at positions 113 to 1176 of the family's 1533-position model. The record is from RNAcentral.
ACGCGUGAGAAUCUACCUUCGAGAAGGGGACAACCGUUGGAAACGACGGCUAAUCCCCAAUAAGCCGAAAGGUGAAAGGGUUUCCGCUCGCAGAGGAGCUCGCGUCCGAUUAGUUAGUUGGUGGGGUAAGAGCCUACCAAGGCAGCGAUCGGUAGCUGGUCUGAGAGGAUGAGCAGCCACACUGGGACUGAGACACGGCCCAGACUCCUACGGGAGGCAGCAGUGGGGAAUUUUCCGCAAUGGGCGCAAGCCUGACGGAGCAACGCCGCGUGUGGGAAGAAGGCUCUUGGGCUGUCAACCACUUUUCUCAGGGAAGAAGUCCUGACGGUACCUGAGGAAUCAGCCUCGGCUAACUCCGUGCCAGCAGCCGCGGUAAUACGGAGGAGGCAAGCGUUAUCCGGAAUUAUUGGGCGUAAAGCGUCCGCAGGGGGCACUUCAAGUCUGCUGUCAAAGGUCGGAGCUUAACUCCGGUUCGGCAGUGGAAACUGGAGUGCUAGAGGGCGACAGGGGUAGAGGGAAUUCCCAGUGUAGCGGUGAAAUGCGUAGAGAUUGGGAAGAACACCGGUGGCGAAAGCGCUCUACUGGGUCGCACCUGACCCUCAGGGACGAAAGCUAAGGUAGCGAAAGGGAUUAGAUACCCCUGUAGUCUUAGCCGUAAACGAUGGAUACUAGGCGUGGUUUGUAUCGACCCAAGCCGUGCCGAAGCUAACGCGUUAAGUAUCCCGCCUGGGGAGUACGCACGCAAGUGUGAAACUCAAAGGAAUUGACGGGGGCCCGCACAAGCGGUGGAGGAUGUGGUUUAAUUCGAUGCAACGCGAAGAACCUUACCAGGGCUUGACAUCCCGCGAAUCUUGCUGAAAGGUGAGAGUGCCUUCGGGAGCGCGGAGACAGGUGGUGCAUGGCUGUCGUCAGCUCGUGUCGUGAGAUGUUGGGUUAAGUCCCGCAACGAGCGCACCCCUCGUCAGUAGUUGCCAGCAUUAAGUUGAGCACUCUAGGGAGACUUCCGGUGACAAACCGGAGGAAGGUGA